Molecule: ribosomal RNA, 464 nt
Filed under: uncultured bacterium
Lineage: Bacteria
Description: partial 16S ribosomal RNA
Rfam family: Bacterial small subunit ribosomal RNA
Source: RNAcentral
CCUACGGGAGGCAGCAGUGGGGAAUAUUGCGCAAUGGGCGAAAGCCUGACGCAGCGACGCCGCGUGAGGGAUGAAGGUCUUCGGAUUGUAAACCUCUGUCAGCAGGGAAGAACGGUCACUGUGCUAAUCAGCAGUGAACUGACGGUACCUGCAAAGGAAGCACCGGCUAACUCCGUGCCAGCAGCCGCGGUAAUACGGAGGGUGCGAGCGUUAACCGGAAUUACUGGGCGUAAGGCGCUCGUAGGCGGUAUGUCAAGUCAAGGGUGAAAGCCCCGCGCUCAACGUGGGAACUGCCUUUGAAACUGAAAACUGGAGUGUGUGAGAGGAUAGUGGAAUUCCAGGUGUAGGGGUGAAAUCCGUAGAUAUCUGGAGGAACAUCAGUGGCGAAGGCGACUAUCUGGCACAUAACUGACGCUGAGGGGCGAAAGCGUGGGUAGCAAACAGGAUUAGAUACCCCAGUAGUC